This 63-nucleotide transfer RNA is filed under the name Ictidomys tridecemlineatus (thirteen-lined ground squirrel). Its description in RNAcentral is "Spermophilus tridecemlineatus (thirteen-lined ground squirrel) tRNA". It matches the Rfam family "tRNA", at positions 1 to 62 of the family's 71-position model. From Rfam's summary of the family: Transfer RNA (tRNA) molecules are approximately 80 nucleotides in length. Lineage: Eukaryota; Metazoa; Chordata; Mammalia; Rodentia; Sciuridae. The record is from Rfam by way of RNAcentral.
GGGGAAGUAGCUCAGUGUUAAAGCACUUGCCUAGCAAGCAUGAGACACUGGGCUCCAUCCCCA